Molecule: ribosomal RNA, 496 nt
Filed under: uncultured bacterium
Lineage: Bacteria
Description: partial 16S ribosomal RNA
Rfam family: Bacterial small subunit ribosomal RNA
Source: RNAcentral
GAUGAACGCUGGCGGCGUGCCUAAUACAUGCAAGUCGAGCGAACAGACGAGGAGCUUGCUCCUCUGACGUUAGCGGCGGACGGGUGAGUAACACGUGGAUAACCUACCUAUAAGACUGGAUAACUUCGGGAAACCGGAGCUAAUACCGGAUAAUAUAUUGAACCGCAUGGUUCAAUAGUGAAAGACGGUUUUGCUGUCACUUAUAGAUGGAUCCGCGCCGCAUUAGCUAGUUGGUAAGGUAACGGCUUACCAAGGCAACGAUGCGUAGCCGACCUGAGAGGGUGAUCGGCCACACUGGAACUGAGACACGGUCCAGACUCCUACGGGAGGCAGCAGUAGGGAAUAUUCCGCAAUGGGCGAAAGCCUGACGGAGCAAAGCCGCGUGAGUGAUGAAGGUCUUCGGAUCGUAAAACUCUGUUAUUAGGGAAGAACAAAUGUGUAAGUAACUAUGCACGUCUUGACGGUACAUAAUCAGAAAGCCACGGCUAACUACGUG